RNAcentral lists this ribosomal RNA (669 nucleotides) under Salmonella enterica subsp. enterica serovar Infantis. Its description in RNAcentral is "partial 23S ribosomal RNA". It matches the Rfam family "Bacterial large subunit ribosomal RNA", at positions 711 to 1295 of the family's 2925-position model. The record is from RNAcentral. Lineage: Bacteria; Pseudomonadati; Pseudomonadota; Gammaproteobacteria; Enterobacterales; Enterobacteriaceae.
AGACCCGAAACCCGGUGAUCUAGCCAUGGGCAGGUUGAAGGUUGGGUAACACUAACUGGAGGACCGAACCGACUAAUGUUGAAAAAUUAGCGGAUGACCUGUGGCUGGGGGUGAAAGGCCAAUCAAACCGGGAGAUAGCUGGUUCUCCCCGAAAGCUAUUUAGGUAGCGCCUCGUGAAUUCAUCUCCGGGGGUAGAGCACUGUUUCGGCUAGGGGGCCAUCCCGGCUUACCAACCCGAUGCAAACUGCGAAUACCGGAGAAUGUUAUCACGGGAGACACACGGCGGGUGCUAACGUCCGUCGUGAAGAGGGAAACAACCCAGACCGCCAGCUAAGGUCCCAAAGUCAUGGUUAAGUGGGAAACGAUGUGGGAAGGCCCAGACAGCCAGGAUGUUGGCUUAGAAGCAGCCAUCAUUUAAAGAAAGCGUAAUAGCUCACUGGUCGAGUCGGCCUGCGCGGAAGAUGUAACGGGGCUAAACCAUGCACCGAAGCUGCGGCAGCGAACGUAUCACUUAAAGCGAUUCAGCGGGUUACGAUUGACGGAGCGAAGCGACGUCAAAGCGUAUACAAAGUCGAGUCGGUUUAAGGAUACGUUCGUUGGGUAGGGGAGCGUUCUGUAAGCCUGCGAAGGUGGCCUGUGAGGGUUGCUGGAGGUAUCAGAAGUGCGAAU